This 224-nucleotide long non-coding RNA is filed under the name Carica papaya (papaya). Its description in RNAcentral is "long non-coding RNA (CPAP_LNC009095)". Lineage: Eukaryota; Viridiplantae; Streptophyta; Magnoliopsida; Brassicales; Caricaceae. The record is from RNAcentral.
GAAUACAGUUUAUCAAGUUACACAAUCUAUCCAAAAUUUCAUAGGUAGAUUGACUUAAAUCCUUAAAGAUCUUGCCACAUUCAUAAUAUACUGGUGUAUUCUCUAAACCACACCAUUUUGUUAUGGUGUCUAUGGGCAAGUACUUUGAUGAAUGACUCUUUUUUCAGCAUGGAAAUCUGGUAUGUUAAAUUCUUUUCCAUCAUCAGUUCAAAUGCACUUGAUUU